UGCCAGCCGCCGCGGUAAUACGGAGGGUGCGAGCGUUAUCCGGAAUUACUGGGUUUAAAGGGUGCGUAGGCGGAUAACUAAGUCUAAGGUGAAAGUCAGUGGCUUAACCAUAGAAUUGCCUUGGAUACUGGUUAUCUUGAAUUGGGUUGAGGAUGGCGGAAUGUGGCAUGUAGCGGUGAAAUGCAUAGAUAUGCCAUAGAACACCAAUUGCGAAGGCAGCCAUCUGGGCCUUGAUUGACGCUGAGGCACGAAAGCGUGGGGAGCGAACAGGAUUAGAUA
This 279-nucleotide ribosomal RNA is filed under the name uncultured bacterium. RNAcentral describes it as "partial 16S ribosomal RNA". It matches the Rfam family "Bacterial small subunit ribosomal RNA", at positions 506 to 784 of the family's 1533-position model. The record is from RNAcentral.